This is a non-coding RNA of Podarcis lilfordi (Lilford's wall lizard), 66 nucleotides long. Lineage: Eukaryota; Metazoa; Chordata; Lepidosauria; Squamata; Lacertidae. The record is from the annotation of a GenBank genome assembly.
GCCAUAGCUCAGUGGUAGAGCAUCUGCUUUGCAUGCAGAUUCUCAGGUGACUCCUGCCUGUAAAUG